This is a non-coding RNA of Hydra vulgaris (swiftwater hydra), 1500 nucleotides long. Lineage: Eukaryota; Metazoa; Cnidaria; Hydrozoa; Anthoathecata; Hydridae. The record is from RefSeq and is a predicted model, not a curated record.
UGUUAUAAGUAAACUUGCAAUGGUGAAAUUAAAAUUUACUAUAAAAGUGGGAAAAGUACCCUUUGUCGUUGGAAAACCAAAUUCAAAGGCAGAGACAAAAGUCCACAGAAAAAAAAUAAAUAAAAAAGAACUUCAGAUCAAACAAGCUGUGUCUUGGUGCAAAGAGCACAACAAAGAGGUUAUGCUGCUUUGCAAACUGGUAUGUUUUCUUUUAUCAAAGGUCGAGGCACCAUUGAUUGGAGAUUAUAUGCAAAAACUGCUAAUAUCAAAAAGCAGCAUCUACGAGUUUUGACACCUGAAGAAGAACACUCUAUUGUAGAAUUUAUUUAAAAAAAACAACAGGUGUUAUCAAGGAGUAUCAAGAAAGCAAGUCACUAAUUUAAUUAUUGAUGUUUUAAAAAUUAGAGACUUGCAACACCAAAAGUCAAGGUGGUUUGUCAAUCUAUCUAAUUAUGCAAAACAUGUUGUAAAGACAGGAAAGCUUGGUCAGUCAUUUUGGCAGAGAUGGGAAGCAGAACAUCACAACUUAGUUCUAAAAAGACAAGGAAAUGCACCAUUUAACAUGGCAUUCAACUGUACAAGAGGAAUGGCAGAGUCACAUUUAGAUUCAUUGGCUUAAGAACUUAUUAAAUGUGAUAUUUUCACAAACUCCAUAAAACUUGAACCUGGUGUGUGGAAGGGUGAUAUUGAAGUAAGAAGAAUUUUUAAUUUUGACGAAACACCCCAAUUUAUAAAUUAUGAGAAUGGAAUGAAAUCCGGUCUUCAUAUGUUGCACGUGGAGAAUUUCGCAAAAAAAUGGUUAGGAAGUUUUGUGAAUCAAUAACAAUAUGUUCAGUUGUUUUAUUGGCAGGUGAAAUUGUUGUUUCACAAGUUAUCUUUGCUGGUAAAGGUAUAACUAGUCACAUAGCCCCAAAAACAGCUGUUCAAAUUAUAAAAAAAUUAAUUGUCAUCUACUGAAAAAUAAAGCAAGGAUAACCAUUUAUUAUUGGACUUAUAUAAAAAGUUUGAUAUAUAUUUGUCAGAAGAGAACAUACAGCAACCUCUUGUAAUGCUAGCAGAUAGACACAGUUUAAGAUUUGACUACAAUGUUUUAUAUUUCCUCCAUGAAAAGAAAAUUAACUUGUUUAUAAGUCCUCCUGAUACAACUGGGGUGACUAUUAGAUCAAAGUCCUACAAAAAAAGAAAUGAACUUUUUACAACAUUCCAAACAAUAAAUCGAGGUUUUGUGACAAUUUUAGGAGCAAUGUGGGACAAAUGGGUUUCAAAGGUUACCAUAAUUAAUGCUGCAAAGUAAUUUGGGAUAUCUAAAGAAGGUUUAAAUGUAAAUAAGAUGCACCAUGAUAAAUUUCAACAGGUUGCAAACUGUAUAGCUCAAAUUCAGGACAAGAGUCUUCAGUCAGUUUUGUUCCAAGUAUACCAAAGAAAAUUUGUACAUGUUCAUCAGCAAAUGUUUUGUUACAGGGUUAUUCAUUUUUAUAUGCGCGUCUAUUCAUUUUUAUA